Molecule: unclassified non-coding RNA, 200 nt
Filed under: Ophiostomataceae sp.
Lineage: Eukaryota; Fungi; Ascomycota; Sordariomycetes; Ophiostomatales; Ophiostomataceae
Description: partial internal transcribed spacer 2
Source: RNAcentral
UUAAGUUCAGCGGGUAGUCCUACCUGAUCCGAGGUCAACCUUGUAAAAAGAGUUGCACGUCAUGCGCGUUUUGACGGCAGGGCGCCGGCGGGGCGUCUGAGCGAGGGGAGAACUUGCGUUCGGUACUGCGCUCGGAGCCAACCAGCCGGGCCCGCCACUCGCUUUCGGGGCCUCCGCCAGGCGGAGGAGCCCCAACACCA